CAGUCGCCGCGGUAAUACGAAGGGGGCUAGCGUUGUUCGGAAUUACUGGGCGUAAAGCGCACGUAGGCGGAUAUUUAAGUCAGGGGUGAGAUCCCAGAGCUCAACUCUGGAACUGCCUUUGAUACUGGGUAUCUUGAGUAUGGAAGAGGUGAGUGGAAUUCCGAGUGUAGAGGUGAAAUUCGUAGAUAUUCGGAGGAACACCAGUGGCGAAGGCGGCUCACUGGUCCAUUACUGACGCUGAGGUGCGAAAGCGUGGGGAGCAAACAGGAUUAGAUACCCGUGUAGUCCCUGUCUCUUAUAC
This 301-nucleotide ribosomal RNA is filed under the name uncultured bacterium. Its description in RNAcentral is "partial 16S ribosomal RNA". It matches the Rfam family "Bacterial small subunit ribosomal RNA", at positions 509 to 807 of the family's 1533-position model. The record is from RNAcentral.